Populus nigra (black poplar) is the source of this 1168-nucleotide long non-coding RNA. RefSeq lists it as uncharacterized. NCBI's taxonomy places the organism in Eukaryota, Viridiplantae, Streptophyta, Magnoliopsida, Malpighiales, Salicaceae. The transcript is spliced from 2 exons. The record is from RefSeq and is a predicted model, not a curated record.
AUCCUAAUUCAAAUUAAAACCCUAAUUCCAUUGCCUGCCUCCUCCUCCUCCUCCUCCUCCUCCUUUUCUUCAGUGUCUUUUCUCUCGUCACUGGUAUUAAAUACACUUUUUAUAGUUACGUACAAGGAACUGGUGGGUACUUUAGCCACCAAAUAAUUUUAAUGUUGAUGGAGAGUGGCAAGCAGAAAUUUCCUCCGCUGAUCACAUUCUUGCCUGAUCAUUUCGCAAUCUCAAAGUAUGAGGGAGGAGUUUCUUGAGGUUUGCUGAUUCUCUCAUUCAGCUGAAUCUCAAGAAAGCCUUUCCUGUUCCAUGUAAUAAAGGCAUCUCUCUCUAUUGUCGUCCCCUCCCCUUCAAUUUUUGUCUCGUUUAUUUGUUACCCAUACAUCUACUUCUCCAGAAUGCAAGAACAACAACGUUUGUUCUCUCCAACGACGACUCCAAAGAUUUUUCUUUUCUUUUCUUAGUUUUUUUCUUUCUCUUUGUACUUAAUACAUGAGUGUGGCCAAUCUUAUUAUAUCUAGUUCUCUGCUUCAUUUCAUUUUAAAAUAAUCUGAAGAUAUCAAGGCAUAUCAAAGGUGAAUGUGCAGUUCGUCUCUCCAUGUCCUUUCUACUAUUUCUGGUCAGUUGUGCUGUCUGUACUGCUAUUAUGUGUGUGGCGGAUUGGAAUGGGGACCUGCUAAUGAAGGCAAAGGCAAAAUGGUAUUGUCUUCUGCAGUUAUGGUUUUGUGAAGGAUGCAUAGAGGGAUUGCCGGCAUUUAUGGCGAGCAUGUUCCUCACAAGUUGGCAUUUUCAGUAAGCUUUUGAAUAUCAUACCCGGAGCCCUGUUCUGUUCAAUUUUGUUUUUCAAACUAUGUAUCAGUUUAAAUUGUAUAGCCUUCAUUGUUGAUGCCUUGGGUAUAUUGUUUUGGUAAUAAUGUGGAAAAAAUUGAGAUACGUUUUCAUUCUCCUACUUGAAGCUGACAAAAUAUUAGAUGAGACACUCAUCAUCUUCUCAUUUGUAUCAGUUACAUUUGGAGGGCAUUGAUGUGCUUUAAACCUGAAAGCAAAUUGUGAAUGUGUGAUCUCGUGUAAAUUAGUGUAGUAGAAACUCUGCACAUUUUUGUUCUAUUUUGUUAUGCCACAUAGUUAAAUUGAAAUAUCUUGUUUCAAUAUACCUGAUUUUUAUUUA